Teleopsis dalmanni is the source of this 1000-nucleotide long non-coding RNA. RefSeq lists it as uncharacterized. Lineage: Eukaryota; Metazoa; Arthropoda; Insecta; Diptera; Diopsidae. The transcript has 3 exons. The record is from RefSeq and is a predicted model, not a curated record.
UUAUUUUUUGUAUUUGACUUUAAUAUAUAACCGUAAACAAUGUUGUAAAUCGUAUGAAAGUAUCAAGCUGGCCAAAGCAGGAACUCUGCUCUCUGACAUUCACUUCUCGUUCACUUCUAUUGGAAUUCCACUUAUAACAGAUAAACUGACAAACAAGCAAAAAUAUCUGAGCAUAGUCAAGCAAAACUGGACCUGGUUGAUCUGGUCUAAACUGGACAGAAAACUGAUUGGUACAAUCAGCUACUUCAAUUAAAGCGAAACCUGCUCAGCACUACUGAGCUGAUGGUGCUGAUGAGUCACUGCAUAAUAGGAAGGCAUGUUAUGAAACUGGGUAUAUUCUAUAAUUUCUUUUAUCGUGGUUGUGGGGCUACGGAUGUGAUCCAUCUUUAGCUUGGAGAAAAUCUAAAAUAUUCGGGCUGUACUCUAAUCUAUGUAUGAACAAACACCAAUCCUGUUGUACUACAACAAGCUAUUAUUUGAGCUCAUGUGGAGUUGGGGAGUAACAUAAUAGAAGAACGAGGGAGUCUCUAUUGAGUGAGUCACUGAUGAAGGGCUAUGUUGCUCAUUCUGUGGCAUACGUCACAAAGAACAAAUUUUGCAGAUUAAAUUUGAUCUUAGAAAUAAAUUGUUGGUCAAUCUCUAAGAUCUUAGAAUGACGACGAAAUCCCUGAUGAGUGAUUUUCUGUUGAAGAGCUCGUCUUCCCAAAGGAUAUUAAUUUUGAAAUUGAUGAUUCAGCAAAGCUCUUGGCAGUUUCUUUUAAGAAAUUUGAUGGGAUGAUAGAUGCUCAGUUUAAUCAAAUAGAAAAAUAGUUCUAAUCAUGUUUGCAAUUUUGGAAGAUUCCACUAAAAUUGACAACAAUGUAGGUGUUGUAAACGAUAGCAAAGCGACGACAAGAAGACAAGAACUGAUAAGAGCUGUUCUCGUUUAAAUUCUUUUGCUUCAAUUAUAAGACCUUUGAAGAGACAAUAAAAUAUAACCACAAAUUGCAUCUUCUCUGCA